AGCGAACGCUGGCGGCAGGCCUAACACAUGCAAGUCGAACGAACCUUUCGGGGUUAGUGGCGGACGGGUGAGUAACACGUGGGAACGUGCCUUUAGGUUCGGAAUAACUCAGGGAAACUUGUGCUAAUACCGAAUGUGCCCUUCGGGGGAUAGAUUUAUCGCCUUUAGAGCGGCCCGCGUCUGAUUAGCUAGUUGGUUGAGGUAAUGGCUCACCAAGGCGACGAUCAGUAGCUGGUCUGAGAGGAUGAUCAGCCACAUUGGGACUGAGACACGGCCCAAACUCCUACGGGAGGCAGCAGUGGGGAAUCUUGCGCAAUGGGCGAAAGCCUGACGCAGCCAUGCCGCGUGAAUGAUGAAGGUCUUAGGAUUGUAAAAUUCUUUCACCGGGGACGAUAAUGACGGUACCCGGAGAAGAAGCCCCGGCUAACUUCGUG
This 434-nucleotide ribosomal RNA is filed under the name uncultured bacterium. RNAcentral describes it as "partial 16S ribosomal RNA". It matches the Rfam family "Bacterial small subunit ribosomal RNA", at positions 29 to 507 of the family's 1533-position model. The record is from RNAcentral.